UACGGGGGGGGCAAGCGUUGUUCGGAAUUACUGGGCGUAAAGGGCUCGUAGGCGGCCAACUCAGUCAGACGUGAAAUCCCCCGGCUUAGCCGGGGAACUGCGUCUGAUACUGGCUGGCUUGAGAUCGGGAGAGGGAUGCGGAAUUCCAGGUGUAGCGGUGAAAUGCGUAGAUAUCUGGAGGAACACCGGUGGCGAAGGCGGCAUCCUGGACCGACACUGACGCUGAGGAGCGAGAGCCAGGGGAGCAAACGGG
RNAcentral lists this ribosomal RNA (253 nucleotides) under uncultured bacterium. Its description in RNAcentral is "partial 16S ribosomal RNA". It matches the Rfam family "Bacterial small subunit ribosomal RNA", at positions 524 to 776 of the family's 1533-position model. The record is from RNAcentral.